ACUAUUUUGGCAGAUUAGUGCAUUAAAUUUAGAAUUUAAAUAUAUAAUUAAAAAUUAUAAGUAGUA
This 66-nucleotide transfer RNA is filed under the name Simulium vittatum. Its description in RNAcentral is "partial tRNA-Leu". RNAcentral also lists the same sequence under 6 other names. Lineage: Eukaryota; Metazoa; Arthropoda; Insecta; Diptera; Simuliidae. The record is from RNAcentral.